Molecule: ribosomal RNA, 374 nt
Filed under: uncultured organism
Description: partial 16S ribosomal RNA
Rfam family: Bacterial small subunit ribosomal RNA
Source: RNAcentral
GUAGGUGGCAAGCGUUGUCCGGAAUUAUUGGGCGUAAAGCGCGCGCAGGCGGGGUCCUUUAAGUCUGAUGUGAAAGCCCACGGGCUCAACCGUGGAGGGUCAUUGGAAACUGGGGGACUUGAGUACAGAAGAGGAAAGCGGAAUUCCACGUGUAGCGGUGUAAUGCGUAGAGAUGUGGAGGAACACCAGUGGCGAAGGCGGCUUUCUGGUCUGUAACUGACGCUGAGGCGCGAAAGCGUGGGGAGCAAACAGGAUUAGAUACCCUGGUAGUCCACGCCGUAAACGAUGAGUGCUAAGUGUUAGGGGGUUUCCGCCCCUUAGUGCUGCAGCUAACGCAUUAAGCACUCCGCCUGGGGAGUACGGCCGCAAGGCUA